AACGCACCUUGCGCCCUUUGGUACUCCGAAGGGCACACCUGUUUGAGUGUCUUGAAUGCCUCUUCCUUCAACGUUUUUCACGAAAUGUUGUACUGGUCGGAUGUUGAGCGCUGUUGGACUUUCGGGUUCAACUCGCUUCAAAUUAAUGAGCAGGCUCUUGUACUUGAUCGGACUGACUCGGCGUAAUAGUUCAAACUUCGUCGAGGACGCUUUCAUUAGCGGCCGGUCUACAAGGUUAAUUGCCGCUUCUAGUUGCCCCUUAUAAUUAUUAGACCUCAAAUCAGGUGGGAUUACCCGCUGAACUUAA
Molecule: unclassified non-coding RNA, 307 nt
Filed under: uncultured Flammulina
Lineage: Eukaryota; Fungi; Basidiomycota; Agaricomycetes; Agaricales; Physalacriaceae
Description: partial contains 5.8S ribosomal RNA, internal transcribed spacer 2, and large subunit ribosomal RNA
Rfam family: 5.8S ribosomal RNA (bases 1-52)
Source: RNAcentral